Molecule: ribosomal RNA, 446 nt
Filed under: uncultured bacterium
Lineage: Bacteria
Description: bacterial SSU rRNA
Rfam family: Bacterial small subunit ribosomal RNA
Source: RNAcentral
GAUCAUGGCUCAGAACGAACGCUGGCGGCAGGCCUAACACAUGCAAGUCGAGCGAACCCUUCGGGGUUGGCGGCGGACGGGUUAGUAACGCGUGGGAAUAUACCCUUUGGUACGGAAUAGCCUCGGGAAACUGAGAGUAAUACCGUAUGUGCCCUUCGGGGGAAAGAUUUAUCGCCAAAGGAUUAGCCCGCGUUGGAUUAGAUAGUUGGUGGGGUAAUGGCCUACCAAGUCUACGAUCCAUAGCUGGUUUGAGAGGAUGAUCAGCAACACUGGGACUGAGACACGGCCCAGACUCCUACGGGAGGCAGCAGUGGGGAAUCUUAGACAAUGGGCGCAAGCCUGAUCUAGCCAUGCCGCGUGGACGAUGAAGGCCUUAGGGUUGUAAAGUCCUUUCAGAUGGGAAGAUAAUGACGGUACCAUCAGAAGAAGCCCCGGCUAACUCCGUG